CCUACGGGGGGCUGCAGUGGGGAAUAUUGGACAAUGGGGGCAACCCUGAUCCAGCCAUGCCGCGUGUGUGAAGAAGGCCCUCGGGUUGUAAAGCACUUUCAGUGAGGAAGAACGCCUGGUGGUUAAUACCCAUCAGGAAAGACAUCACUCACAGAAGAAGCACCGGCUAACUCCGUGCCAGCAGCCGCGGUAAUACGGAGGGUGCGAGCGUUAAUCGGAAUUACUGGGCGUAAAGCGCGCGUAGGUGGCUUGAUAAGCCGGUUGUGAAAGCCCCGGGCUCAACCUGGGAACGGCAUCCGGAACUGUCAAGCUAGAGUGCAGGAGAGGAAGGUAGAAUUCCCGGUGUAGCGGUGAUAUGCGUAGAGAUCGGGAGGAAUACCAGUGGCGAAGGCGGCCUUCUGGACUGACACUGACACUGAGGUGCGAAAGCGUGGGUAGCAAACAGGAUUAGAUACCCGGGUAGUC
RNAcentral lists this ribosomal RNA (465 nucleotides) under Vreelandella stevensii. Its description in RNAcentral is "partial 16S ribosomal RNA". It matches the Rfam family "Bacterial small subunit ribosomal RNA", at positions 338 to 795 of the family's 1533-position model. Lineage: Bacteria; Pseudomonadati; Pseudomonadota; Gammaproteobacteria; Oceanospirillales; Halomonadaceae. The record is from RNAcentral.